AUGAAUGAGAAGGGCAUGUUAGAGAAGCUGACGAAAGAGAAGGGCACGUUGGAGAAGCUGGCGAAGCAAAAGAUGAAAGCGAACGGCAAUGGAGCCGGUCGCCAUCGAGAGAAUCAUCCGGUAACGAUCGAGAUCCUUGUAUUCUGCAUACUCCCUCCUUCCCAAGUCUGCAUGCAAUCCCAUAAUUUUCCCUAUUUUAUCGAAGGGAGAUGGGGAACUCAGGUUGCUUCUUUGCUGCAAUACGAGAAGUUCAUAAAAGAUUUAAACACACAGCAACUGACGUACAUCAAGUUGAUUGGACUGGGUGAACUUCUCAAGACUCCUGGCAUGAGAAUGAGACAUCUACUGUGCCAGGCCAUCGCUUAUUCAUAUGAUACAGAGCAGGAUGCCUUUAUAAUUAAUGGGAGACCAUGUAGGAUCACACUAAAAGAUGUGGAGCAUAUAACAGGCCUGCCCUGCAUGGGGAAGAAUCACGUCUCUUCAAAUCACAACGAUACUUCGGAGUUGUGGAAGGAACUGAAAGACCCCAGUGACACAAAACUUACGCUUGACCAUCUUAUGGCUAGCGUCAGGAAAUUUGUAAAUGGUGGAGCAAAUCUGGAGGGCAACCUACCACUGUUGCAGACGUGGUAUUACAAGAAGUGGAGGGUGCACCAAUUGGACUCUACCAUCUCGUAUGCAUCAAGGUUAAGGCCGCUGAUCCAAAACUGGAGUGACGACAAGGCACAGAAGGUUGACAACAUAAUCAACAAAAAUUAUAUAGGGGUUGGAGAGUAUGUCGAUGACCUGCUGCGGCCUUUCAAUCCGCCACCAGUUGGGACGCCGGUCAAACCAAAGAAUGACAGCCAGGAUAAGGCACUCAUGGGCCGUGUAUUGGCUGAUUUGAAAGAAGUUGUCUCCAUUGUGCAGGAGGCCAGUGCACAACAAUUUGAUAGGAUGUGCACCCUUGAAAAAAAUGGACGAUUGCCUUAG
RNAcentral lists this ribosomal RNA (972 nucleotides) under Triticum aestivum (bread wheat). Its description in RNAcentral is "partial small subunit ribosomal RNA". Lineage: Eukaryota; Viridiplantae; Streptophyta; Magnoliopsida; Poales; Poaceae. The record is from RNAcentral.